Molecule: long non-coding RNA, 1060 nt
Filed under: Homo sapiens (human)
Lineage: Eukaryota; Metazoa; Chordata; Mammalia; Primates; Hominidae
Description: non-protein coding lnc-REXO2-1:1
Source: RNAcentral
AGCAGACUCUAGCGCUCUCGCCAAGACACUGAACAGCAGUGCUGCUGCCUCCUGCACCCAGAGUGUUUGCUAUUACCUGACCUAGAACAUCUGGAGCCCAUAGAUCCUAAAGAGCAGCUUUUUGAGGAAUGCAGGGCUGUCGUGGAUACUUAACUUCCCUGGUUCCAGAGAGAUUUUGUGGAUCUGAGGACAGACUCCAGUAACUACCUACCUAUUAGAGUCAUGCAAUGGAACAACUUCAUCCAAGCUCUUGGAAAGACAAAGACAACUUUGUACAAUGCCCUGUUGAAACACUCAAGUGAGAAGAAAGGAAGCUUCUCACGCUAGAAGAAAUCCUAUUCUACCAGCCUGAUAUAUUGUGCCUCCAAGAGGUAGAACAGUAUUUUGAAACCUUCCAACCACUCCUCAGGAGGCUGGGCUAUCAAGGCACAUUUUUUUUCCCCCAAGCCCUGGUCAUCUUGUCUAGGUAUAGAAUACAACAGUGGACCAGACAGCUGUGCUUAAUUUUUCCUCCAAAACCAAAUCAGGCUAGUGAACAGUGCCAAUAUUAGGCUGAUGGCCAUGACAUUGAAAACUAAUCAGGUGGCCAUUGCACAGUUCCUAGAGUGCAAGGAGUCAGACCAACAGUUCUGCAUCGGUGUCACCCAUGUAAAAGCACGCACUGGCUGGGCGUGAUUUUGAUCAGCUCAAGGCUGUGACCUUCUUCAGAACCUGCAAAAUGUCACUCAAGGGCCAAGAUUCCCCUUGUUGUUUGAGGGGACUUCAAUGCAGAACCAACACAAGAGGCCUAGAAACACUUUGCUUCCUCCAGCCUCAACCUGAACAGUGCCUACAAUCCCCUGAGUGCUGGUGGGCAGUCAGAACCCCCAUAUACUACCAGGAAGAUCUGGACCCCAGGGGAGGGCAGGCACACCCUCUGGUAUUCUAAGCAUGCUCUAAAUGUAAGGUCAGCUCUUGAUCUGCUCACCAAAGAACAGAUUGGAUCCAACUGGCUACCAUCUUUCAGACCACUGGUAUCUGGUGUGUGACUUCAGCUUUAAUGAGGAAUCUGAUGGACUUA